Molecule: unclassified non-coding RNA, 240 nt
Filed under: soil metagenome
Description: partial contains 5.8S ribosomal RNA, internal transcribed spacer 2, and large subunit ribosomal RNA
Source: RNAcentral
AACCAUAGAAACCUGCGGAGUACCUGGGAAGGAUCAUUAUAGUAUAUGGAAUCUCCAUUCUAUAAACCCACUCUGCGUAUCUUGUAACUGUUGCUUCCAUGGGACUUGGUUCCGCCACACCGGCUUCACGGCUGGUGAGCGCCCAUGGAAGGAGAAACAAAACUCUUCUUUGAAAUGUAGUCAGUCUGAACAAGUUUUUAUAAACGUUAAAACUUUCAACAAUGGAUCUCAGAUCGGAAG